Molecule: non-coding RNA, 255 nt
Organism: Pelobates cultripes (western spadefoot toad)
Lineage: Eukaryota; Metazoa; Chordata; Amphibia; Anura; Pelobatidae
Source: the annotation of a GenBank genome assembly
CUGUUAGAAGCUUGUUCUAAAAAGGGGUCACAAAAUCAGCCAGACACUUUAACUGCAGAAAAAUGCCCCAUCCUUGAUCAUCUUCUCUCCGCUCUUGUUCUCUAUUUUUGGUUAGAUGCACAGAUUGUCCUCAUGGGAAUAAGGAAUUAAAAUGUCUUAAUCUGCACACACUGAUAUCACUGUGUGUUUUCUUUCAAAGCUCUACUGGGGAAAAAAUGAAGUAGAUAUCUUUUUUUUUUCCUGCUCCAAACCAAU